GACGAACGCUGGCGGCGUGCCUAAUACAUGCAAGUGGGACGCAAGGAAACACACUGUGCUUGCACACCGUGUUUUCUUGAGUCGCGAACGGGUGAGUAACGCGUAGGUAACCUGCCUAUUAGCGGGGGAUAACUAUUGGAAACGAUAGCUAAUACCGCAUAAUAUUAAUUAUUGCAUGAUAAUUGAUUGAAAGAUGCAAGCGCAUCACUAGUAGAUGGACCUGCGUUGUAUUAGCUAGUUGGUAAGGUAAGAGCUUACCAAGGCGACGAUACAUAGCCGACCUGAGAGGGUGAUCGGCCACACUGGGACUGAGACACGGCCCAGACUCCUACGGGAGGCAGCAGUAGGGAAUCUUCGGCAAUGGACGAAAGUCUGACCGAGCAACGCCGCGUGAGUGAAGAAGGUUUUCGGAUCGUAAAGCUCUGUUGUAAGUCAAGAACGUGUGUGAGAGUGGAAAGUUCACACAGUGACGGAGCUACCAGAAA
RNAcentral lists this ribosomal RNA (485 nucleotides) under Streptococcus mutans. RNAcentral's name for it is "bacterial SSU rRNA". It matches the Rfam family "Bacterial small subunit ribosomal RNA", at positions 28 to 489 of the family's 1533-position model. Lineage: Bacteria; Bacillati; Bacillota; Bacilli; Lactobacillales; Streptococcaceae. The record is from RNAcentral.